GGCCCAAUGGUCUAGAGGUAAGAUACUUGCUUUGGGUUCUAUGAAUCAAUAUGCAAGGGAUCCUGGGUUCAAUUCCCAGUUGGGCCC
Non-coding RNA from Cerrena zonata, 87 nucleotides. The record is from the annotation of a GenBank genome assembly. NCBI's taxonomy places the organism in Eukaryota, Fungi, Basidiomycota, Agaricomycetes, Polyporales, Cerrenaceae.